Molecule: ribosomal RNA, 549 nt
Filed under: uncultured bacterium
Lineage: Bacteria
Description: bacterial SSU rRNA
Rfam family: Bacterial small subunit ribosomal RNA
Source: RNAcentral
UGGGGAAUAUUGGACAAUGGGCGAAAGCCUGAUCCAGCCAUGCCGCGUGUGUGAAGAAGGCCUUUUGGUUGUAAAGCACUUUAAGUGGGGAGGAAAAGCUUAUGGUUAAUACCCAUAAGCCCUGACGUUACCCACAGAAUAAGCACCGGCUAACUCUGUGCCAGCAGCCGCGGUAAUACAGAGGGUGCAAGCGUUAAUCGGAAUUACUGGGCGUAAAGCGCGCGUAGGUGGUUAUUUAAGUCAGAUGUGAAAGCCCCGGGCUUAACCUGGGAACUGCAUCUGAUACUGGAUAACUGGAGUAGGUGAGAGGGGAGUAGAAUUCCAGGUGUAGCGGUGAAAUGCGUAGAGAUCUGGAGGAAUACCGAUGGCGAAGGCAGCUCCCUGGCAUCAUACUGACACUGAGGUGCGAAAGCGUGGGUAGCAAACAGGAUUAGAUACCCUGGUAGUCCACGCCGUAAACGAUGUCUACCAGUCGUUGGGUCUUUUAAAGACUUAGUGACGCAGUUAACGCAAUAAGUAGACCGCCUGGGGAGUACGGCCGCAAGGUUA